Molecule: long non-coding RNA, 1956 nt
Filed under: Olea europaea subsp. europaea
Lineage: Eukaryota; Viridiplantae; Streptophyta; Magnoliopsida; Lamiales; Oleaceae
Source: RNAcentral
AUAAUAUAAAAAAUAAUGUGGAAUAAAGAAAAUAAUAUUUUUCCAAUAAAAUCCACCCUAAUUUGAGGUAGAAAGUCUAACAAUCUCCACCUAAACCAAAUCCUAGUGCAACGAGCAAAGCUCCAAAAUUUCUCCACCUGAAAAAAUGUUCGGCUGCAUCGCAAUAACCAAGCUCCUCAAACCGUAAGAAAAACUCUCCACCUUACGAAAAACAUCACCUCUGCCCGGCAUCCACAAGCGACACCUAAAUUCUAAUCCCAGGUUCCCAAAAUACCAACAAGGAAUUAACAUUGACCAAACAGGGUCGAAGCACACCUUGUAGUAGAAUCCACACAAAAUUCCUGAGGCCACUUGCUAGAGUUGUCACCUUCAAAGACACCAAAAGUAUUCCCGACAUCUCCAAUACCGUAACUAUUUUCAAUGGAUCCAACCCUAGCAUUUGAACACAAUGUAUCAGUUGAAAUUGGUGGCAAAGCGGAAUCACCAAUGCUUUCCCCAACUAUGUUCUGAACCGACCUAGAGUCAAUCACAAGAGGUAUUGUACCAAAAUGAAUAUCCAUCACGGUGCCAAAUUUGUCCAGAUGUCUCUUAACUGGUUCUGCACACACUUGCAAGAUGUACAGUUGAGACUUUUUCUGUCCCUUCAAUACAACCCGGAUACCCCUUUGAAACUUCAAGACUCGACCUUCACCAAAAAACUUAUAGCCCUUUGAAUUCAGAGUACUCAGCGAGUGAGAUUCCUUUUCAAGUUUGGAACAUGUCGAACAUGGCCAAGUAUUUUGACUGUCCCAUCCUGCAACCUCAAUCUGACCUGACCGAUUACAGCAAUCCGACAAGAUUAGUUGUAUUUCAUGACAACUUUACCUUACUUAACUACCUCAUAUGCCUCAAACAAGUCCAGAUUGGGACACAUAUGGAACGUACAUGCUAAAUUAGAAUCCAUUCCUCAUCAGGCUUAGCUCCAUGUUUGAAACAAUCAAUAUCACACCUCUGCCAUUCGAAAAAUUCUCAGUAACAUUGGUCUCGUCCGAAGUACAUGAUUGCCUCCCAUGAUUUGCAGCGAAAUUAUCCUUAGCCUGCAACUUAUUGCAAUCUUUGUUAACAUGUCUUUUUCUCUUGCAGUAGAAGCUGUAUAAAUUGCUGAAGUUCGUUCUUGAUCUACCCCUCCGUCGAUCAUUAUGAGAUACCAGAGCAUCCUUAUAUUUAGAUGUAGCUACAAUCAAAUUCUUCAUCUUCUUCUUUGAGAAUAAAGCAUAAGCAUCUUCAAUGGCAAGCGUGUCACGACUGUACAAUAUAGUGUCUUAGAACGACGAGUAUGAAGGUGGUAGCGAACACAACAAGAUUAAGGCCAGAUCUUCUUCAUCAUAUUUGACCUCUAAUGUUUCCAAAUUCGCAACGAUUUCUUUGAACACAGCCAGUUGAUCUUCUAACGAUCUUUCAUUUGCCAUGCGAUGGGAAUACAGCCUUUGCUUUAGAUGCAGUUUGCUCAUAAGAUUUUUGGUCAUGCAGAAUUACUCCAGUUUCAACCACAAACAAGUUGUUGUUUUCUCCCUCAAUACGUCCUACCGAAUGUUAUUGGAGAAAUGAAGGUGAAUUUGCGAUAGAGUCGUCUUGUCUUUCCGUUGUUUCUCCUCCAUUGUCUAAUUUGCUGGCAUCUUAUUAAAAUCGAACAAAGCAUCGUUCAAAUCCAUAUGCGCCAACACAACUCUCAUCUUUACUUGCCACAGCGAAAAUCUCGUAUUGCAAUCCAACAACGAAAUAUCAUAUUUCAAUGUUGCCAUCUCUAAAAAAUCCCAACCAAAUAACAAGGAAACUUGUGGCCUAGCUUUGGUACAACUUGUUGGACCCGGAGGUAAUGCAAGAAUUGAGAUUAAUGAACAAUAUGAAAUAUGUAUAAUCACAACGAAGAAAACAAGACUAAAUAAAGAAGUUGAAGAGAAAUUAGCAAAGGAAUCA